This 38-nucleotide small RNA is filed under the name Candidatus Protochlamydia amoebophila. Lineage: Bacteria; Pseudomonadati; Chlamydiota; Chlamydiia; Parachlamydiales; Parachlamydiaceae. The record is from RNAcentral.
UCAGUAAAGUAUAAUCAAAUUUGGAAGCAUUUAACUAA